RNAcentral lists this unclassified non-coding RNA (365 nucleotides) under Hevea brasiliensis (rubber tree). The record is from RNAcentral. Lineage: Eukaryota; Viridiplantae; Streptophyta; Magnoliopsida; Malpighiales; Euphorbiaceae.
CCUGAAGGACUUUCACAAUUUCUUCCUGCAAUUUCAAAAUCUUCAAAUCUGCAUCAAUGCGCAUAAUCUUUGUCUCAGAACUAGCAUUUUUACCUGCUGCCAUGGCAGCAAUCCUCGAGAGAUUCAAAAGACGCUUUCUGUCUGCUAGUGUUGUUAUCAAGCCAGUGUGCUCAGGGUCUUCACCCUCUUCAGCUUCUGAACAAGAGUGUUCAUCUUGAGAAACAGCCAAAACAUGAAGAGUUUCAGAAGCUGAGGAAAACUGAUGAAGGAACAACUCAUGAAGCCAAAGUAGAUCCUGAUGAUGCUUUAGAAAAAUAGAUAACUCUUCUUGAAACUCCUCCCCAAGCCUUAGAAGCUUGGAAAAU